This 85-nucleotide transfer RNA is filed under the name Lawsonibacter asaccharolyticus. RNAcentral describes it as "tRNA-Tyr". It matches the Rfam family "tRNA". Rfam says of the family: Transfer RNA (tRNA) molecules are approximately 80 nucleotides in length. Their secondary structure includes four short double-helical elements and three loops (D, anti-codon, and T loops). The record is from RNAcentral. Lineage: Bacteria; Bacillati; Bacillota; Clostridia; Eubacteriales; Oscillospiraceae.
GGGUCAGUAUCCAAAUUGGGUGAAGGAAGCCGACUGUAAAUCGGUGACGCAAGAUACGCUGUUGGUUCAAGUCCAACCUGGCCCA